RNAcentral lists this long non-coding RNA (209 nucleotides) under Elaeis guineensis (African oil palm). RNAcentral describes it as "long non-coding RNA (EGUI_LNC053229)". Lineage: Eukaryota; Viridiplantae; Streptophyta; Magnoliopsida; Arecales; Arecaceae. The record is from RNAcentral.
UCCAUGCCGCUAGGUUAAUAAUAACUGUUAUGACUAAUUAAGGAAGAGACCUAAAUCAAAUCUCCCUAAUAGAAUAUUAAGUAUAGUGAUAUUCCACCAUUGUAGUUGUGCAGGCCCUUUCUAGAGUUGGUUAUUCUCGACUAGAUCAGUGGUUCAGUUGCACCAAGAAGACGUAACCAUAUUAUUAGGCAUUAGAUAUUGUGGGGCGA